AUAAUACAUAAUAUUAGAUAAAACCAAAACAUAAUAAAUAAUCAUCAUAAAGAAGUUCAAAUUCAAACAAGGCGCCCAAAUAACUAGAGGGGCACACUAACCCCGAAACCCGGCCACACUAAGUCGGGCAAUUCGGACAUACGGACAUACGGGCACACUAAGCCAAGGGCUAUAUAAAGCGGGCGGCUGGCCUCAGUAAGGGCAGUCGGUGGUCGGAGUCGACCGAGGUGGACGUCACCAGCGAGCGGGAAAGCAGCAAGAUCAGGACCGGGAUCAACAAGUGCUGACUUCAGGGUCCCGUAUAAUUCUCCACGCCGACUUCAGGGUCCAACAGCAUCUGCUUACGUUGAUUCCAGGGCACUCGACGGAAUUCGGAGCAGCCGCGUACGGAAGACCGCGUCCCCGGACGAAGACGCGAGAUACGAAGAGCCUCGCUGUGGAAGACGGAAACUAGGCCGAGGGAGCUCCAUACAGUUCUAUAUAAUCAUUGUAACCGAGAAAAGGAAUGAAUAAACUCUGCGUCUAUAUUUAA
Long non-coding RNA from Drosophila santomea, 532 nucleotides. RefSeq lists it as uncharacterized. Lineage: Eukaryota; Metazoa; Arthropoda; Insecta; Diptera; Drosophilidae. The record is from RefSeq and is a predicted model, not a curated record. The transcript has 2 exons.